CCUACGGGUGGCAGCAGUGAGGAAUAUUGGUCAAUGGGCUUACGCCUGAACCAGCCAAGUCGCGUGAGGGAAGACUGCCCUACGGGUUGUAAACCUCUUUUGCCAGGGAGCAACGCCGUCCACGUGUAGCCGGCCUGAGAGUACCUGCAGAAAAAGCAUCGGCUAACCCCGUGCCAGCAGCAGCGGUAAUACGAAGGCUGCGAGCGUUACCCGGAUUUAGUGGGUUUAAAGGGUGCGUAGGCGGAAUGCCAAGUCAGCGGUAAAAUCGCGGGGCUCAACCUCGCUCCGCCGUUGAAACUGGCGUUCUUGAGUGGACAAGAGGUAUGCGGAAUGCGUGGUGUAGCGGUGAAAUGCAUAGAUAUCACGCGGAACUCCGAUUGCGAAGGCAGCAUACCGGCGCCCGACUGACGCUGAGGCACGAAGGCGUGGGUAUCGAACAGGAUUAGAUACCCGGGUAGUC
This 460-nucleotide ribosomal RNA is filed under the name uncultured bacterium. RNAcentral's name for it is "partial 16S ribosomal RNA". It matches the Rfam family "Bacterial small subunit ribosomal RNA", at positions 338 to 795 of the family's 1533-position model. The record is from RNAcentral.